Molecule: ribosomal RNA, 460 nt
Filed under: uncultured bacterium
Lineage: Bacteria
Description: partial 16S ribosomal RNA
Rfam family: Bacterial small subunit ribosomal RNA
Source: RNAcentral
CCUACGGGAGGCAGCAGUGAGGAAUAUUGGUCAAUGGGCGCUAGCCUGAACCAGCCAAGUAGCGUGAAGGAUGACUGCCCUAUGGGUUUUAAACUUCUUUUAUAUGGGAAUAAAGUGCAGUAUGUAUACUGCUUUGCAUGUACCUUAUGAAUAAGGAUCGGCUAACUCCGUUCCAGCAGCCGCGGUAAUACGGAGGAUCCGAGCGUUACCCGGAUUUAUUGGGUUUAAAGGGAGCGUAGGCGGGUUGUUAAGUCAGUUGUGAAAGUUUGCGGCUCAACCGUAACAUUGCAGUUGAUACUGGCAUCCUUGAGUGCAGUAGAGGUAGGCGGAAUUCGUGGUGUAGCGGUGAAAUGCUUAGAUAUCACGAAGAACUCCGAUUGCGAAGGCAGCCUGCUGGACUGUAACUGACGCUGAUGCUCGAAAGUGUGGGUAGCAAACAGGAUUAGAUACCCCAGUAGUC